UGUAGUGGUGAAAUGCGUAGAUAUCGGGAGGAACACCAGUGGCGAAGGCGGCCUCCUGGGUCGCCCCUGACGCUCAGACGCGAAAGCUAGGGGAGCAAACGGGAUUAGAUACCCCGGUAGUCCUAGCUGUAAACGAUGUGGACUUGGCGUUGGUGGGGUCAAAUCCAUCAGUGCCGUAGCUAACGCGAUAAGUCCACCGCCUGGGGACUACGGUCGCAAGGCUAAAACUCAAAGGAAUUGGCGGGGGCCCGCACAAGCAGCGGAGCGUGUGGUUUAAUUCGAUUCUACACGAAGAACCUUACCCGGGUUUGACAUCCAGGUGGUAGGGAACCGAAAGGCGACCGACCCUUCGGGGAGCCUGGACAGGUGCUGCAUGGCUGUCGUCAGCUCGUGUCGUGAGAUGUCCGGUUAAGUCCGGUAACGAGCGCAACCCUUGCUGUAUGUUAUACGUGUCAUACAGGACUGCCGGUUUAGUGCCGGAGGAAGGCGGGGAUGACGUCAAGUCAGCAUGGCCUUUAUAUCCGGGGCUACACACACGCUACAAUGGCCAGUACAACAGGUUGCAAAACCGCGAGGUGGAGCCAAUCCCCAAAACUGGUCUCAGUUCAGAUUGCAGGCUGCAACUCGCCUGCAUGAAGUCGGAGUUGCUAGUAACCGCGCGUCAGCUAUAGUGCGGUGAAUACGUUCUCGGGCCUUGCACACACCGCCCGUCACGUCAUGGAAGCUGACAACACCUGAAGCCGGUAUCCUAACCGCAAGGAUGGAGCCGUCGAAGGUGGGGUUGGUGACUGGGACGAAGUCGUAACAAGGUAGCC
Molecule: ribosomal RNA, 815 nt
Filed under: uncultured Chloroflexota bacterium
Lineage: Bacteria; Bacillati; Chloroflexota
Description: bacterial SSU rRNA
Rfam family: Bacterial small subunit ribosomal RNA
Source: RNAcentral